This 257-nucleotide long non-coding RNA is filed under the name Elaeis guineensis (African oil palm). RNAcentral describes it as "long non-coding RNA (EGUI_LNC021889)". Lineage: Eukaryota; Viridiplantae; Streptophyta; Magnoliopsida; Arecales; Arecaceae. The record is from RNAcentral.
UAUUGGAUCUCACCCAAUCUUCAAAAUGCACCAUCAUGUGUCCUCCAGCUGACCGUCUCGAUGCCUCUAAUCACACAGCUUGAUCCAUCUGACAGAUGAACAUUACCCUCACUGCUCUCCAAAGAGUCAAACAGCUCUUCUCUAUAAUAUACAUGAUAGAUGCAUGCAGAAUCUAAAAUCUACUACUAGGAAGAAGUAGAUAUCCUGUUAGAUAUCACUAGGACAUCAUUUUUUGACUCGCUACAGGCUAUCACCAC